Molecule: long non-coding RNA, 1090 nt
Organism: Neofelis nebulosa (Clouded leopard)
Lineage: Eukaryota; Metazoa; Chordata; Mammalia; Carnivora; Felidae
Exons: 2
Source: RefSeq, a predicted model, not a curated record
CCGUUAUUUUUAAAUCUUUUCCUACUACUUCUAAUGUUUGGUAUGUCUGCUUCUAUUGACUUUUCUAUGGACUUUUUUCUUUUCUUUUAAAACUUUUUUUAAUGUUUAUUUAUUUUUGAGACAGAGACAGAGCAUGAGUAGGGGACGGGCAGAGAGAGAGAGGGAGACACAGAAUCCAAAGCAGGUUCCAGGCUCUGAGCUGUCAAUGCAGGGCUUGAACUCACAAACCAGGAGAUCAUGACCUGAGCUGAAGUGGAAUGCUUAACCAACUGAGCCACCCAGAGUAGAAAAAGAGACCUAAAAGCCAAGAGUCACCACCAACAGAGGCCUUUUAUGGUAAAGAGUUACCAAGCAGCAGAGUGAACCUGACAAGAUCCACAGUGGGUGAUUGCUGGCCUUCUACCUGAGCAGACAGUCGGGAGUCUAGGGAUGAGCCAGAGAAGCAGAAGAUGCAUGAUGGCCGCUUGGGGUCAAUGGAACGUGAACAAGGGCAAGUAGUGACCCAGGAUGGGGACUGGGGAAAUGCUGAACUUGUGGAAAAAUGCAGCUUCAAUUCAGACUUUCUUUCUGCACAGAAAUUUCUUGUCAAAGAAUAUUUCUGUCAAAUUGACUCAGUUCAAAGUUUCCAGCAUAAUUUUGUUUUAAAAAAUUGUCAGGAAAUCUUGGUAGUGAAGAAAGCUUAUAAAGGCAAUCCACAUGGAAAAGCCUUAGGAAAUCUGUAUAAAUUGAGCAUGGUAAAUAUACCAACCAGAGCAUAUACCUUUCUACACAUGAGAUUAUUAAUGUAGGAAAUAAACCCUAUGGCUUUAAAGAAAGUGGAGAUUUUUUUUACCCUUAGCUCAUGCUUCUCUCACUUCGUGAGAACUCAUACUAAGGAGAAACCCUAUGAAUGUAAUGCAUGUGGGAAAGCCUUUAAGAAACUUUCAUCUUUUUCUUACCAUCUGAGAAAUCACAAUAGAGAGAAAGCCUAUGAAUUUAAUGAAUGUGGGAAGUCUUUCUGGAAGAGCCUUCACCUCAUUUUGCACCAGAGAACUCACACUGGUGAGAAACCUCAUGAAUGUAAUAAAUGUAGAAAGUCUUUUAGCCAUAA